GCGAAAACUUUACAAUGCUGGCAACAGCGAUAAGGGAACCUCGAGUGCCAGGUUACAAAUCUGGCUGUAGAGAUGCCUAAAAAGCAUUUCAUAGCAAGGGCCGGGCAAGACCGGUGCCAGCCGCCGCGGUAACACCGGCGGCUCGAGUGGUAACCGUUAUUAUUGGGUCUAAAGGGUCUGUAGCCGGACGGAUAAGUCUCUUGAGAAAUCUGGCAGCUUAACUGUCAGGCUUUCAGGAGAUACUGUCUGGCUCGAGGCCGGGAGAGGUGAGAGGUACUUCAGGGGUAGGUGUGAAAUCUUGUAAUCCUUGAAGUACCACCAGUGGCGAAGGCGUCUCACCAGAACGGACCUGACGGCAAGGGACGAAAGCUAGGGGCACGAACC
RNAcentral lists this ribosomal RNA (384 nucleotides) under uncultured prokaryote. RNAcentral describes it as "bacterial SSU rRNA". It matches the Rfam family "Archaeal small subunit ribosomal RNA", at positions 341 to 725 of the family's 1478-position model. The record is from RNAcentral.